Molecule: long non-coding RNA, 3013 nt
Filed under: Carica papaya (papaya)
Lineage: Eukaryota; Viridiplantae; Streptophyta; Magnoliopsida; Brassicales; Caricaceae
Description: long non-coding RNA (CPAP_LNC008088)
Source: RNAcentral
UCAAGAAUCAAAAGAGAUUUCUUAUGUAAAUUCAUUGUGGUACAAGUAGAAAUUCAGUUCAAAUUUAUAGGAAGUUCAAUAUUAUUUUAUUAGGAAGUCUUAUCCGAGGCAUUAAAUAAAUAUUUCAUACUUGAGUAAUUGAAUCUGUUGAGCGAUUUUGAAGCUUAAGAAGAUAUUGAUGAUAUGUCACUCCUAGAACCAACAAGCACAUAGUUGCUAUCAGCAACCUCAAUUCUAGGAGAAGAGAAAAUGACAGCCAAGUCCAAAGCAUUUGAAAAGAGAGUGCUGAUCAGAUCAAUGAGUCUUCAACUAAAUGAACAUACUUCUAAAAUUCUAAUUUCAAUUCCUGCGGCAUGAAUAAAGGCUUUUUUCAUGGCAGGAAGAUUAUUACGAUCAAUCUCACAUCCCAACAAAUCAAAUCUUCCCCAAAGAGAAUUAGUUAAUUAACUGCAUAGAGACAAAUUUCUGAAAGAAAAUGAUGUACCUAGUGGUCCACACAUAUUUUGUACUGCAUCCAGUUUACAACAUACAAAAAGAAAAUAGAAGGAAACGGAAAAAAAAAAGCUAUUAAAUGCACAAAGUGGAUAAUUUUUUUAGCACCACACGAACAAUGAACACUGAUUUUUAUUGGAGAUUAUUCCAGACUUAAUUAUGGGACAUCAUUAAAGCACUAUAUAAACAUAAAAGGCCACAACACUCUAAGACAAUCAAAGAGAAUGAGAUAACACUAAAUAAAGAGAGCAUUCAAAUUUAAUCCAUAAUUCCUAACCAUCCCUAGUCUAGAUGGUCAGUACUUUUACCCACUCUAUGAGAAUGUGGUGGAGACAUUGUCUGUCUAGUUGUCCUCUUUAAGAGAUUGUGGUAUUGUUGAAUAUGUUAUAAUUGGUGUCAUAUAUUACCUAAUUAUUGAAAUGCAUGAAUUUUCACUCAAAUAAAUUUUAAUUCAUAAUCAUAUGGAAAAUCUAAUGUUCUCCAAUUUUAGUUCUCAGAAAUCAAUGACAUUUACAUACAAACUUCAACCGGAGGUGAUACCAUGCAUUCUUCAAAUUUCUCAGUAAAUGUACAAAAUAGAAGGGAAGAAAAGGGACAAAAAAGAAUGCCUUCUUUUCCUAUAACUUCAUAAACCAUGCUGGUACGCAAACAAAAAUGAAAGGGAAACCAAAUAACCCAACCUAAGAAGAAAACUUUUACCUUCUAACUGCAAAUCAAGAACAGGCAUGGAGAUUUUUCUACCAGUUUGAACCCUAAAUAAUCCACUAAAUUGAGCAAAAACAAAGCAGGGCAAAAUAAGAUAGAUGUAAAAACCAAAAAGCCAAUAACAAACUCUAAAUUGUAGAUCUAGAAUAGUGAAGAGUUUUGACGGUUACUGAAAAAUCAAAAUAUUGGAGUAGCUCUUAAGACAGUUAUCUUGUAAUAAUAUUGUUCGGAAUAAAGAUGUUUAACGCAGCUUUUAAAAAGAAACAGCUAUACUUUCUGGAAGCAAAGGAAAGUACAAGAGGGCACACUAGAAAAUUGGAAAAAAUUAGACGAAUAUAGGAAAAAGAAAAACAAUUUUAUACACUGUAGAAUGCAUAAAUGCAGCUUUCGGUUGAGUUAUAGACCAAAAAAAAAGUUCCAGAAGUUUAAAGGCUGUAGGACAAUAUAUUAAUAAGGUCAGAGAACAGGAAAGCAUCAACAUCUCGGUAGAUCUUUACUCUUAUUAUACGUAUCCGGUUAACAGAUCUGUCAAGCUAAAUUUCCAUGCAUAUUGUCAGAAGAAUGCAAAUAGAAUGAAGUGCAAUCAAGAGCUACUGCGACAAAAAAAAAAGCGAAUCGAAGAUCUAGAUUACUAGAUCUACUAAUUCAAAAGAUUCAGAGGGUGAGGACGCUCUUACAUUUAAUCUACAAUUUACUUUCAACGAUUUACAACCAUGCUUGUUUGGUUUCCGAGAAAUGAAGCACCAGAGAUUUUUACGUGAAGUGAGGACAAACACAAAUACAGUAAAAUCCAGCCAAUAGUAACAAUCGAAGCCAUGGAUACCAGUAAGAAGAAAAAAAAAAUUGGAAAAUCGUAGCGAGAAUUACGGCAUAUCAAAAUCUCACUUGCACGUCAUUUUCGAGAAAUCAGGAAAAAUCAAAUCGAAAUCCACAUGCAUGUAACAAAAAAAAGAAGAAGAAGAAGAAGAAGAAGAGAGAAAAAGAAAAGAAAACAAGUCUAAGCCAAAUUCUAAAGUAAUAGGAGAAAGACACGAGAAAAUGCAUAUCCGCCAUUCCAGCUCACCUAUUUCUCAGGAACCAAACAGAAAAUAAAAAAUUAGUUUCCCCGUCCAAAGAGCAGUGAACAGUCACCAGAAAGAGAACUCUGAAAUACGAGAGAACGAAAAAGGAGAAAGUACCUGAAUCCGAAAAGCUCGUCAAGAUCGGAACCAGAGAGGUUCACCGAACCGACGCUGAAGCUCUGAAGAACUGAAGCGAUAAGAAUGGCGACUUUAUUAAUGUGAGCUUAUUAUUGCAGGUAGAGUGAGGGAGAUUUAUUUAUUUUAUUUAUUUAUUUAUUCUUUGCUCAUUCUGACAAGAGAUUUUGAAUUUGAAUUAAAUUAAAAAAAAUUGAGUGAGAAAAUUUAAGAAAUCGAAAACAGAUCGCAGAAUCCGCGAGUCACGCCGUAUUCCAAAUAGGAUUCGCUGGCCUUCACAGGUAACCACGUGAGCAAAAAUUAUUAAAAAAUUAUUACCCACCAAAAAUGAUUUCAAAAUAAAUUAAUAAUUAAUUCAUAAAAAAUAUAAUUAUAUAUGCCCCACCAGACACAUAUUUAUCAGAUGUCAAAGUACCUUCCCUAAAAUGGGUACAUUGUUAAUCAACCAACUCUAGCCCAAUAAUAAUUUAUGCUCUCUUUUAAACAAAAAUAAUUAUUUCAAUAUUUAUUAAUAAUUAAUUUUUUUAUGUGAAAAAAUUAGUGUAAAGGUAAUUUUUUAAAUGUAUCUUUAAAUAAUAUAUAAAAUCUAGUCGAAUCUUUUGUAAGUAUUUUGAUUGAAG